UAUUAUCUCACGUCCUGCCGCAGCAGCUGCUGGGCCAUUGGCACGGUGGUUGCGGUGCAUGCAGCACAGUUCGUCCCGGCUGCGCUUCCCUUCAUCCCUUCAACGGGGUCUGAACGCUCCCACAGCUCUCACACUGGAAGCUGAGAGCCGCUGAGUGAGGCAAAGGCACGGUUCUACCCUAUUCCAUAACAGGGGAUAAAGCACAGACCAAUCGAGGUGUGGGCUGAAACUAAAGCUACCAAGUGAAGCAGCUAUAUGUGGCUAAAUGUCUCCUCGCACGGCCGCUGACGGGCACCACACGAGGAAAUGACGGACCCCCCUCCGCCUCCGCCGCUUCUCCCCUUCACGUCCGCCGCUCGUCCCGCAGCUCCCCGCACACCGCCGCACACCGCAUCCCCUCCGCGACCGCCGAGCGGCGGCGCUGCCCCUCAGUUGGGAUUCACAGCUCCCCGCGCUCCGCUCACCUCCGUCCGUUACCUCCUCGCAGCCGCCCGGCCCGGCACAGCCGCCGCGCACCCAAGGUAAUGUCACCAGCUUUGAAUUAAGCAAGCUCAAGAAAAGAUGAUUUCGAGGCAAAAUGAUGGUAACUAUGGUUUUCCAUUGUUCCAGGAACAUCAGCAGGAAUGGAAGAAAACUGAGGAUACUUUAUGGAAUUUGGAAAGGACAAACAACAAAAUCACUUGGAAAUCUACCAGUGGGGAUGAUUUUCCUGAGAUAAGCCUGUCUAUAGGUUGUAGUCAGCCCUAGUGAGAUGCCUUGGGGGAUUCCUCUGUGGUCACGACUGCAAACAUUAUUCAAGAGAAACAAACACAAUUGUCAAAAGCAGCUUAUCUGGCUAUGCUGGUCUCUUCUCUGGAAAGUGAACUCAGACUGUUUGCCUCAUUGUAUCUAUCUUGCUGUCUGUAAAAUAAAUGAAUGCCUUGCCCUAGCAACACAGUAGCUGCACAUGAAUUUAGUUUGAAAUAUUACUCAUGUAUUGGCAUAUUAGGACAAAUAAGACUAUCUUAAAAAAUAUGAGUGUUUGUUGUUAAUAUCUUGCAUUUUUGUUUGUUUAAUGGGUGAAACUUUCUAUUACAAUAUUUUAAAAUCUCUUGCACAAAUAUUAAGAUAUUAUGUCCUUUAAUAAAAUCAAUUAUUUCUUCCUGUUCUUUCCCUGAAUAGAUCCUUUACCUUGUUUCAAGUCCCGAGAGCACACAUGAGUUGGGCUCUUGCAGCAAGUUUCCUGUUUUGCCAAAGGCUGGUUGCAUAAUUCUGACCAAGCCAAGGUUUUGACUUGUUGGUCACUGAAUGACCUGCUUUUUUAAUUUUAAUUUUAAUUUUUUUUUUUUUUUCCUGUACUUCUCAGGUUCAUUUGACCAAAAAACUCUCAAAAGUUAAACACAUUUUAGGUAUCUGGGCAAGGAUUUAUAACAUAUGCAGUAUUGGUUCAAACCAGUAUAGUGUCAAAACCAGUGGCCAGAAGCAGAUGUGCAAGAAGAUUUAAGGGCAUAACACGUGUAUGAUAUUUUGCUUUGACACUUGCCCAUUCCCUGUCAUUGUUAGUUCAGAAGAUUGCCUGAAUGUGUUGUGGUUUGCUUACUUAGUAACCUGCAUGGAUUUCUCUUCCAAUUACCUGUUAGUCUCCUCUUGAAUCUAGGAAAACAUUUCUUAAGUACAACACAAUUUAGUAAGGCCUGCCACGUACGUAAACUUUAAUACUGUGUGAAGAAAUAGCGACUUCUGUCUCUUUUGAGACAGGCCCCUUUUGUGCUGCAUGGUACUGAGAGCUUGGAAACACUGAUUUGUACCAGUAUCUGUCCUCAGACUUGUGACAUAUUUAUAUCCUGAAUGGUAUUAUGCUUGGACACAGCUGUGAUGUGUAAACUGAUGCCAUAGACGCAUGACACCUCUGUGUUGGGUUUGCAGAUAAAGAAAAGUGAGUGUGUCUAUUGGCCUGUGGUCCCAUUUCAUUCCUUGCACUGGGACAAACUCCAGCAAGCCUGAGAAUGUCUCUCAGUUUGCUUCUGCAGAUACUGCUGUUUUCAAAGUGAUGUGAUGUACUAAGUACAUAUGAAAAAAUACCAGCAACAUUUGCAUUACAGUCCAGAUAUUAGUAAAAUAAUUUGAUUUAUGAUUUCUUGGAAAGCCUAUGUGACUUGAGAAGUCUAAUAUCAGAGUCAUUUGUUGACAUUAUUUUUAUUGAAGCAUGGAUCUUUAGCUUGGUUCACCAUAAAGUGAAGCAUUUUAUUUAUGAUAAUAGACAGUUUAGGGCUAUAGGGGCAUUAUAACGUUGCUGGUGUAAAUACAACUUUAUCAGAAGAUACAAACAUGACCCGCAAGAGAAACAAACACCUAAGAGAACACAAUGAAACGUUCACUGUUUACGAAUCACUUCAUUACUACAGACACCAAAUGGCAGUUACUGUAAGUAAAUCAGUUGCAGAGAACUGACUACAUUUAGAGAGGGGAACAGGAACUUCGGUUUGGGGCUUCAUCCACAACUGCUUAGUAGAAAAAAGUUUCAUGUCAAGCAUUCUUUUUUUAUCCACAAAACAAUGCUAACCAACAGACAUAUAAAAGAAUAAGACUGAAAGAUAUCAACGUCUUUACAACUACUUUUGCAAUUAUCUUCUUCAUUAGGUACUUUGAUUUUUUAAUACAUUUUGUCAGAAGGUAAAUAGCCCAAAAGUCAGCAGCAAAAAUAUUACAACAACAAAACAAGUCAAUACAGUGCCAAUGUGUCAUGUUGUAGAAUACAAAGAGGA
This is a non-coding RNA of Coturnix japonica (Japanese quail), 2744 nucleotides long. The record is from RefSeq and is a predicted model, not a curated record. NCBI's taxonomy places the organism in Eukaryota, Metazoa, Chordata, Aves, Galliformes, Phasianidae.